CAAUAGCGUAUAUUAAAGUUGUUGCAGUUAAAAAGCUCGUAGUUGGAUUUCGGGAUGGCCCGGCCGGUCUGCCGCACGGUAUGUUACUGGCCGAGCUGUUCUUCUUCGCAAAGACUGUGUGUGCUCUUAACUGAGUGUGCUCAGGAUCUGUGACGUUUACUUUGAAAAAAUUAGAGUGUUCAAAGCAAGCCAGCGCUUGAAUACAUAAGCAUGGAAUAAUGGAAUAGGACUUUGGUUCUAUUUUGUUGGUUUCUGGAACCUUAGUAAUGAUUAAGAGAGACAGUUGGGGGCAUUCGUAUUUCGUUGUCAGAGGUGAAAUUCUUGGAUUUACGAAAGACGAACUACUGCGAAAGCAUUUGCCAAGAAUGUUUUCAUUAA
This 378-nucleotide ribosomal RNA is filed under the name uncultured eukaryote. Its description in RNAcentral is "partial 18S ribosomal RNA". It matches the Rfam family "Eukaryotic small subunit ribosomal RNA", at positions 592 to 976 of the family's 1831-position model. The record is from RNAcentral.